RNAcentral lists this transfer RNA (68 nucleotides) under Amitermes beaumonti. RNAcentral describes it as "tRNA-Met". The record is from RNAcentral. RNAcentral also lists the same sequence under 1 other name. Lineage: Eukaryota; Metazoa; Arthropoda; Insecta; Blattodea; Termitidae.
AGAAAAGUAAGCUAAUUCAAGCUAAUGGGUUCAUACCCCAUAUAUAGAGUAUAACACUCUCUUCUCUA